This is a microRNA precursor of Gorilla gorilla gorilla (western lowland gorilla), 78 nucleotides long. The record is from Ensembl. Lineage: Eukaryota; Metazoa; Chordata; Mammalia; Primates; Hominidae.
GAGCGUCAUGUUGACACUCAAAAAGUUUCAGAUUUUGGAACAUUUCGGAUUUUGGAUUUUUGGAUCAGGGAUGCUCAA